GAUGAACGCUGGCGGCGUGCCUAAUACAUGCAAGUCGAGCGAACAGACGAGGAGCUUGCUCCUCUGACGUUAGCGGCGGACGGGUGAGUAACACGUGGAUAACCUACCUAUAAGACUGGGAUAACUUCGGGAAACCGGAGCUAAUACCGGAUAAUAUAUUGAACCGCAUGGUUCAAUAGUGAAAGACGGUUUUGCUGUCACUUAUAGAUGGAUCCUCGCCGCAUUAGCUAGUUGGUAAGGUAACGGCUUACCAAGGCAACGAUGCGUAGCCGACCUGAGAGGGUGAACGGCCACACUGGAACUGAGACACGGACCAGACUCCUACGGGAGGCAGCAGUAGGGAAUAUUACGCAAUGGGCGAAAGCCUGACGGAGCAACGCCGCGUGAGUGAUGAAGGUCUUCGGAUCGUAAAACUCUGUUAUUAGGGAAGAACAAAUGUGUAAGUAACUAUGCACGUGUUGACGGUACCUAAUCAGAAAGCCACGGCUAACUACGUG
Molecule: ribosomal RNA, 497 nt
Filed under: uncultured bacterium
Lineage: Bacteria
Description: partial 16S ribosomal RNA
Rfam family: Bacterial small subunit ribosomal RNA
Source: RNAcentral